Molecule: ribosomal RNA, 252 nt
Filed under: uncultured bacterium
Lineage: Bacteria
Description: partial 16S ribosomal RNA
Rfam family: Bacterial small subunit ribosomal RNA
Source: RNAcentral
UACGUAGGGGGCGAGCGUUGUCCGAAGUUACUGGGCGUAAAGAGCGCGUAGGCUGGUCUUUAAGUGAGUGGUGAAAGGUUCGGGCUCAACCCGGACACUGCCUUUCAUACUGGGGACCUUGAGUGUGGGAGAGGCGAGUGGAAUGGUCGGUGUAGCGGUGAAAUGCGUAGAUAUCGGGAGGAACACCUGUGGCGAAAGCGGCGCACUGGACCACUACUGACGCUGAGGCGCGAAAGCUAGGGGAGCAAACAG